CUUGAGAUACUUUCCAAUCACCGGUCCCUUCCCCUUCCCUAAGGUCAGUGCUACUUUGAUCACUAAUGAAAAAGAUAAGCUUUGCCUGUCUUUAAACUCUAUCCCCUGGUGGCUCAGCAGUAAAGAAUCCGCCUGCCAAUGCAGGCGAUGCAGGAGAUGGAUUCAGUCCCUGGGUUGGGAAAAUCCCAUGGAGGAGGCCACGGCAACCCUCUCCAGUAUUUUUUCCAUGGGCAGAGGAACCUGACGGGCUACAGUCCAGGGAGUCGCAAAGAGUUGGACAUGACUGAGCUACUAAACAACAAAAACAAACUCUCUAUAGUGGAAUCAUCAGAAGGUCGAGAUGUUUUUAAGGGCUCCACUUUAUAGUUUCAAAGGCUAGAUUCUUUGGGAGUGAGUUAGUGUCCCAGGGCUCAUUUCUAAAGAGGCGUCAUCUUCCAGCUCAGUGGUCAUUCGACUGGUCCCAGGCGCCGGGCGGACAGGCGCAGGGUCAAAAGCCAGGCAGCAGUUGUGAGGGAAGCAGACAGGCAGAUGGAAGGAGACCCUGGGGCCGUGCUCCAGGAUACCCAACCCUGGCAAUUAGCUCAUUUUGGGAAAGAUUCUCCCACCUUGGUUCUGUCUAAAAUGCCCCAUACUGUGUUUCCUUAAAUAGCAAUGGAUGGAGACUGGCUUCAUGCACUUCAAAGCCCUUCCCUGUUUGCAUUGCACGAAUGACACAUUCCUGUCCAAAGUCAUCCAGACAAACAGCUGCUAAUUUCCUAGCAACACUGCCCUAGCCAUUCUUGCAUGGAAUGGAAUUAAUCCUGGCACAGAAAUAGAGGUUUAUAUUCAGAAAAAAAAUAAAAAAGAAAGAAAACAACUCAUAAUUCCUUCUCCCCGCCUGCCCUGCUACUCAAUCUCCACCCCCAGGGACCAUCUUGGACCAAGCUCAGCCAGGGAUUCCCAUUCUUCAGCAACUUGAAAGCCCUGACUAUGUGAUAGCUUUGUUGAGAGGACUCACAUAAGUAUUAGUACUUACAACACUUGAAUUUGUGGAAAGCCGCCAUGGACUGCUUCUUGACUUCAGGGAAUCAUCAGUUUCUGCCUCAUGACAAGUUUAUCAGGAAGUCUGGGUCUGGAGAGGGCUGAUUUAGUGAGGCAAGGGAAGAUCAGGGAGCUGGCUGGCUCUAACACCUAACACGAGGCUCAAGGGAAUGAGCGGUCCAGCUUGGUUCCUGCUUACCCACCCCCACCAGUGCCAGCGGGCUGCAUCUUCAAGCUGUUGUGGACCCAGCAGGAAGAAUGAGGGAUCCUCCCCAUGCAGAAAUCCACGGUGAUGCCCGGGGGCCUGAAUUCCUGAUCCAGAGCCUGACUUUAUUCCCUCCUCCCUGUAAUUAUAUUGCCAUCAUCCAAGAGUCGGGCACCACUUAGCAAUGAAGCACCCACCCAUCAUUCUUACCAUCCCAGCUUGGGUGUGCUCAAACUUGUGAUGGUAUGCACAGAGAAGCUUUUACUUUUUACUCAGAGUCAUGUUGACAUAAAUUGCAUUUACUUCUAUUUUAAAACAUAGCCUUCUUGUCUAAGAAUAACUGAUUUAUUUGGUAAGAAAAGACUUAUGUAUGUGGAUGUCACUAGAAGGGCAAAGGGACAGAGAGGUUUUUUCCUUUUUAAAUUUC
Bos taurus (domestic cattle) is the source of this 1652-nucleotide long non-coding RNA. The record is from Ensembl. Lineage: Eukaryota; Metazoa; Chordata; Mammalia; Artiodactyla; Bovidae.